GAACGGUGUCUUCGGACACAGUGGCGGACGGGUGAGUAACGCGUGAGAAUCUGCCAUCAGGUCUGGGACAACCACUGGAAACGGUGGCUAAUACCGGAUGUGCCCUUCGGGGUGAAAGGUUAACUGCCUGUUGAUGAGCUCGCGUCUGAUUAGCUAGUUGGUGUGGUAAGAGCGCACCAAGGCGACGAUCAGUAGCUGGUCUGAGAGGACGAUCAGCCACACUGGGACUGAGACACGGCCCAGACUCCUACGGGAGGCAGCAGUGGGGAAUUUUCCGCAAUGGGCGAAAGCCUGACGGAGCAAUACCGCGUGAGGGAGGAAGGCUCUUGGGUCGUAAACCUCUUUUCUCAGGGAAGAACACAAUGACGGUACCUGAGGAAUAAGCAUCGGCUAACUCCGUGCCAGCAGCCGCGGUAAUACGGAGGAUGCAAGCGUUAUCCGGAAUGAUUGGGCGUAAAGCGUCCGCAGGUGGCUAUGUAAGUCUGCUGUUAAAGAGUCUAGCUCAACUAGAUAAGAGCAGUGGAAACUACAAGGCUAGAGUGCGUUCGGGGCAGAGGGAAUUCCUGGUGUAGCGGUGAAAUGCGUAGAGAUCAGGAAGAACACCGGUGGCGAAGGCGCUCUGCUAGGCCGCAACUGACACUGAGGGACGAAAGCUAGGGGAGCGAAUGGGAUUAGAUACCCCAGUAGUCCUAGCCGUAAACGAUGGAUACUAGGCGUGGCUUGUAUCGACCCGAGCCGUGCCGUAGCUAACGCGUUAAGUAUCCCGCCUGGGGAGUACGCCGGCAACGGUGAAACUCAAAGGAAUUGACGGGGGCCCG
This 818-nucleotide ribosomal RNA is filed under the name Nostoc sp. 'Nephroma cellulosum cyanobiont' 42_Stenroos_3680. RNAcentral describes it as "bacterial SSU rRNA". It matches the Rfam family "Bacterial small subunit ribosomal RNA", at positions 64 to 923 of the family's 1533-position model. Lineage: Bacteria; Bacillati; Cyanobacteriota; Cyanophyceae; Nostocales; Nostocaceae. The record is from RNAcentral.